CCUACGGGUGGCAGCAGUAGGGAAUAUUGCACAAUGGGCGCAAGCCUGAUGCAGCCAUGCCGCGUGUGUGAAGAAGGCCUUCGGGUUGUAAAGCACUUUCAGCGGGGCGGAAGGCGGUGAGGUUAAUAACCUCAUCGAUUGACGUUACCCGCAGAAGAAGCACCGGCUAACUCCGUGCCAGCAGCCGCGGUAAUACGGAGGGUGCAAGCGUUAAUCGGAAUUACUGGGCGUAAAGCGCACGCAGGCGGUCUGUCAUGUCGGAUGUGAAAUCCCCGGGCCCAACCUGGGAACUGCAUUCGAAACUGGCAGGCUAGAGUCUUGUAGAGGGGGGUAGAAUUCCAGGUGUAGCGGUGAAAUGCGUAGAGAUCUGGAGGAAUACCGGUGGCGAAGGCGGCCCCCUGGACAAAGACUGACGCUCAGGUGCGAAAGCGUGGGGAGCAAACAGGAUUAGAUACCCUUGUAGUC
This 465-nucleotide ribosomal RNA is filed under the name uncultured Klebsiella sp. Its description in RNAcentral is "bacterial SSU rRNA". It matches the Rfam family "Bacterial small subunit ribosomal RNA", at positions 338 to 795 of the family's 1533-position model. Lineage: Bacteria; Pseudomonadati; Pseudomonadota; Gammaproteobacteria; Enterobacterales; Enterobacteriaceae. The record is from RNAcentral.